CGAGCCACGUAUGAAUAAUACGUGGCAUACGGCUCAGUAACACGUAGUCAACAUGCCCAGAGGACGUGGAUAACCUCGGGAAACUGAGGAUAAACCGCGAUAGGUCAUAUUUACUGGAAUGGUUUAUGGCUCAAAUCUACAUGGCCUCUGGAUUGGACUGCGGCCGAUCAGGCUGUUGGUGAGGUAAUGGCCCACCAAACCUGUUACCGGUACGGGCUCUGAGAGGAGGAGCCCGGAGAUGGGCACUGAGACAAGGGCCCAGGUCCUAUGGGGCGCAGCAGGCGCGAAACCUCUGCAAUAGGCGAAAGCUUGACAGGGUUACUCUGAGUGAUUCCCGCUAAGGGAAUCUUUUGGCAUCUCUAAAAACGAUGCAGAAUAAGGGGUGGGCAAGUCUGGUGUCAGCCGCCGCGGUAAUACCAGCACCCCGAGUGGUCGGGACGAUUAUUGGGCCUAAAGCAUCCGUAGCCGGUCUUGCAAGUCUUCCGUUAAAUCCAGCUGCUUAACGGAUGGGCUGCGGAAGAUACUACAAGACUAGGAGGCGGGAGAGGCAAGCGGUACUCAGUGGGUAGGGGUAAAAUCCUCUGAUCCAUUGAAGACCACCAGUGGCGAAGGCGGCUUGCCAGAACGCGCUCGACGGUGAGGGAUGAAAGCUGGGGGAGCAAACCGGAUUAGAUACCCGGGUAGUCCCAGCUGUAAACGAUGCAGACUCGGUGAUGGGCCGGCUUCAUGCCGGCUCAGUGCCGCA
Molecule: ribosomal RNA, 745 nt
Filed under: uncultured archaeon
Lineage: Archaea
Description: bacterial SSU rRNA
Rfam family: Archaeal small subunit ribosomal RNA
Source: RNAcentral